CCUACGGGAGGCAGCAGUAGGGAAUCUUCCACAAUGGGCGAAAGCCUGAUGCAGCAACGCCGCGUGGGUGAAGAAGGUCUUCGGAUCGUAAAACCCUGUUUUUAGAGAAGAAAGUGCUUGAGAGUAACUGUUCACGUUUCUACGUUAUCUAACCAGAAAGCCACGGCUAACUACGUGCCAGCAGCCGCGGUAAUACGUAGGUGGCAAGCGUUAUCCGGAUUUAUUGGGAGUAAAGGGAACGCAGGCGGUCUUUUAAGUCUGAUGGGAACGCCUUCGUCUUAACCGGAGUAGUGCAUUGGAAACUGGGAGACUGGAGUGCAGAAGAGGUGAGUGGAACUCCAUGUGUAGCGGGGAAAUGCGUAGAUAUAUGGAAGAACACCAGUGGCGAAAGCGGCUCUCUGGUCUGUAACUGACGCUGAGGUUCGAAAGCGUGGGUAGCAAACAGGAUUAGAUACCCCAGUAGUC
Molecule: ribosomal RNA, 465 nt
Filed under: uncultured bacterium
Lineage: Bacteria
Description: partial 16S ribosomal RNA
Rfam family: Bacterial small subunit ribosomal RNA
Source: RNAcentral